RNAcentral lists this long non-coding RNA (875 nucleotides) under Homo sapiens (human). Its description in RNAcentral is "HSALNT0387019". The record is from RNAcentral. Lineage: Eukaryota; Metazoa; Chordata; Mammalia; Primates; Hominidae.
UCACUCUUCGAAUCGUCUGCAAGCCUACAUUUUCGUGGCCAUGUGACAAGGACCUCAUCUUUAGUUGACUUAAGGAGAAGUCCCCCAGCACUUGGGUCGUUUUCUUUGAUGUUGGCUUUUACAUAAAGGUAUGUAUCACUGAUUCUCAAAAGAGGAAAAUUAAGGAGUGUCAAAAAGAGAACGAGAGAGAAGCAGGAUGCUCUGGAGAAUGAAAGAUGCUGUACAUUCUGUAAAUCAUUUUGCUGGUUUCAAUAGAAAGUCCAGACCAAGUGGAAUAAAGUGCAUUUUGUGGGUCAGAUGUAAAAGACAGAAGAGACCUGCCCAAAGAAACAUUCCGUGGUACCAGAGGAAAUCGAGCACCAAGAGGCCUUUUUAUCCCCCCUAUACUCAAAGAUGAAAACUAGACUAGGGUCCCUUUUCAAGGUAAAAUGACAGGCAGGUCCAUUAAGCUGCUGUGAAAUUGUUCCCCAUCCUGCAAAUUCAUCCACCAGACCGGGCCCUGCAUCUUACUCAUCCUCAUGUCUCCAUUGUCUGAUAUAAGACCUGGCACAAAUUGGUACUUCCUGCUUGUUAGUGAAACUCAAUAUAUCACACAAUUAAGUACUUUUCCAUUUUAAGAUUGAACAGUAAACCUACCCUGUCUCCCUCUGUUCUCUGCUCUAACUCCUAGUUUGCUGUGGUGAUCACCCUUUAGUGUCUUAACAAGAUUCAAGGCACUGUUCACAUCCCACUAAAUUAGUUCCCUAUGGUUCCUAUAACAAAUUACUACAGACUUAGUGGCUUAAACCAACAGGGGUUUAUUAUGUUAUAGUUCUAGAGGUCAGAAAUCCAAAAUGGUUUUCAUUGGCCUAAAAUCAAGGUGUCAGCUGGGCCAU